CUGCAGAAGGAUCAUUGU
This 18-nucleotide ribosomal RNA is filed under the name Lycianthes amatitlanensis. RNAcentral's name for it is "partial 18S ribosomal RNA". Lineage: Eukaryota; Viridiplantae; Streptophyta; Magnoliopsida; Solanales; Solanaceae. The record is from RNAcentral.